Long non-coding RNA from Aquila chrysaetos chrysaetos, 372 nucleotides. RefSeq lists it as uncharacterized. The transcript has 3 exons. The record is from RefSeq and is a predicted model, not a curated record. Lineage: Eukaryota; Metazoa; Chordata; Aves; Accipitriformes; Accipitridae.
UGGAAAUGUUCUGCCAUCCCAGAGGAGACGUCGCUGGGGCGGACUGUAAUCUAGCCCUACGGUGUACCGCAGGAGGAGGAUGUGAUUAGUGUUUUCUGCCAUGGGAUGUCAGCUGAGGGAUAAGAACCAUGUGCCAAGAAGAGGAAAGAGUGGAUGGAUGAAGGCUGUCCCUUCAAACAUGAAGCACAGCAAGCCCAAACCGGAUCCCCGUUCUCCUUGGAGAUCAACCUGCAGGGAUGAUGAGAGAAACGGAGCGAGUCCCCAGCCCUCUCCCAAGCCAAACUGCAAAACCACGGGCUUCACCAAAGCCCUUCGAGCCAGCCCAUCUCCCAGCAAAGUGUCUCUCCCUUUCUCUCAACUCAGGGCUGGAAA